UAAGUAUCAGGGAUCAGAGGGAGGGAACAAGCCUCCCAGAC
RNAcentral lists this non-coding RNA (41 nucleotides) under unclassified sequences. Its description in RNAcentral is "Ocean-VII RNA". It matches the Rfam family "Ocean-VII RNA". From Rfam's summary of the family: marine metagenomes. Environment (Puerto Rico trench) The record is from Rfam by way of RNAcentral.